CGCUAGAAGUGGGGGAUGGGGGUUCUUCAGUCUCUGGUUGUGCUGCAGCUGGUUGCCGGUUGGAAGUAGUAGAAGGUUGACGAUUUGGAGCAGUAGCAGGUUGGUGAGGCCCUGCACCUUGCUGUUGUGGCUGAGCAGGGCGAGGCCUAGGAGUUGACUGUGCAGCAAUAUACUGUAAAAUCUCAAAAACUCUCGUCUGACCAUAGCUUGCAGCCCUUUGCCAGUAUAAAAACGCCAUAUCUCCAGCUCUAGUUCUUAGUUCCAACAAGUUGCGAUCAAUUUCAUCCUCAUGCUUUGCAACAUAUGGUCUGAAGAAGGAAUCAUACACAUAGGUAGUUCCCUUAGUCUUAGGGUACCACAAGUAUAUGAAAAAUGCCAGCUUAGCUUCACUAUACAUUGGAACCCAUGAAAUAAAAGCAUCUCCAAUUCUCUCACAAACUGUCAACACAGCCACCAAAAUCCAGUACUGGC
RNAcentral lists this unclassified non-coding RNA (471 nucleotides) under Hevea brasiliensis (rubber tree). Lineage: Eukaryota; Viridiplantae; Streptophyta; Magnoliopsida; Malpighiales; Euphorbiaceae. The record is from RNAcentral.